RNAcentral lists this ribosomal RNA (468 nucleotides) under uncultured bacterium. RNAcentral describes it as "partial 16S ribosomal RNA". It matches the Rfam family "Bacterial small subunit ribosomal RNA", at positions 28 to 507 of the family's 1533-position model. The record is from RNAcentral.
GACGAACGCUGGCGGCGUGCUUAACACAUGCAAGUCGAACGGAAAGGCCCUGCUUUUGUGGGGUGGUUGAGAGGCGAACGGGUGAGUAACACGUGAGUAACAUGCCCUUGACUUUGGGAUAACUUCAGGAAACUGGGGCUAAUACCGGAUAGGAGCUCCUGCUGCAUGGUGGGGGUUGGAAAGAGUCGGCGGUUGGGGAUGGACUCGCGGCUUAUCAGCUUGUUGGUGGGGUAGUGGCUUACCAAGGCUUUGGCGGGUAGCCGGCCUGAGAGGGUGACCGGCCACAAUGGGACUGAGAUAGGGCCCAGACUCCUACGGGAGGCAGCAGUGGAGAAUAUUGCACAAUGGGCGGAAGCCUGAUGCAGCAACGCCGCGUGCGGGAUGACGGCCUUCGGGUUGUAAACCGCUUUCUCCUGUGACGAAGCGUGAGUGACGGUAAUGGGUAAAGAAGCACCGGCUAACUACGUG